CACGUAGGGCGCAAGCGUUGUCCGGAAUUACUGGGCGUAAAGCGUGCGCAGGCGGUUUUGUAAGUCUGACGUGAAAUCCCCGGGCUCAACCUGGGAAUUGCGUUGGAGACUGCAAGGCUGGAGUCUGGCAGAGGGGGGUAGAAUUCCACGUGUAGCAGUGAAAUGCGUAGAGAUGUGGAGGAACACCGAUGGCGAAGGCAGCCCCCUGGGUCAAGACUGACGCUCAUGCACGAAAGCGUGGGGAGCAAACAGG
This 253-nucleotide ribosomal RNA is filed under the name uncultured bacterium. Its description in RNAcentral is "partial 16S ribosomal RNA". It matches the Rfam family "Bacterial small subunit ribosomal RNA", at positions 524 to 776 of the family's 1533-position model. The record is from RNAcentral.